GAUGAACGCUGGCGGCGUGCUUAACACAUGCAAGUCGAACGAAGCACUUUAACCUGAUUCUUCGGAUGAAGGUUUUUGUGACUGAGUGGCGGACGGGUGAGUAACGCGUGGGUAACCUGCCUCAUACAGGGGGAUAACAGUUAGAAAUGACUGCUAAUACCGCAUAAGACCACAGAGCCGCAUGGCUCGGUGGGAAAAACUCCGGUGGUAUGAGAUGGACCCGCGUCUGAUUAGGUAGUUGGUGGGGUAACGGCCUACCAAGCCAACGAUCAGUAGCCGACCUGGAAGGGGGACCGGCAAAAUUGGAACUGGAAAACGGCCCAAAACCCACGGGAGGCAGCAGUGGGGAAUAUUGCACAAUGGGGGAAACCCUGAUGCAGCGACGCCGCGUGAGCGAAGAAGUAUUUCGGUAUGUAAAGCUCUAUCAGCAGGGAAGAAAAUGACGGUACCUGACUAAGAAGCACCGGCUAAAUACGUG
This 478-nucleotide ribosomal RNA is filed under the name uncultured bacterium. RNAcentral's name for it is "partial 16S ribosomal RNA". It matches the Rfam family "Bacterial small subunit ribosomal RNA", at positions 28 to 507 of the family's 1533-position model. The record is from RNAcentral.